Long non-coding RNA from Gallus gallus (chicken), 1348 nucleotides. NCBI's taxonomy places the organism in Eukaryota, Metazoa, Chordata, Aves, Galliformes, Phasianidae. The record is from Ensembl.
UUUUUGGCCUUGCUCUUGCUGAGACUGGUCUAUCUGGGGAUGGACCUUUGGAAGGUAUCUUGCUGCAUGGAUGUUGCUGGUUCUUCACAUUGGUUAGACUCCUGGCUGUGCCUCUGGCUUGCAUUGUAGCCUGUUUGGUGCGUUUUGCAUGCAGUAGAAUCGAUCAAAGCUUCUUGUUGUGGUAUCUACGUGGUAUAAUGUUACCUAAGGGAGGAGACAAGCCCGUGUGAGAUAUCAAAGAGAAGGCCUCUUUCCCAGAAGUCACACUCGGUAUUUUUGUUGGACCAACACCUCCUGCCUCUAGCCAGAGAAGCAGCUUAAGCCACAGCGCUGAGUCGUUUUGCUUUACGUAGACUUGAAAUGUGUCAAACAUUGGUGGUGCCUCAAUCCUUGCUUUGUUUCCAUUGACUUGGACAAUGGAGGUCCAAUCCUCUGUUGAAGUGAGGAUGGUUUGCAAAGACUCCAUCCAAUUCGGCGCUGGUUUUCAAACCACUGCAGUCUUUUAGGAGAUGGAGAGUGGGUUUAAAUGAGUACCUCUGAAGUUGCUUCUUUCGGACCAGUUUCUCCCGUAAAUGUUUCCCAACUAUCUAUUUCUGCUUCAAUUGCACAGGAAUGCCAGUGACAUCUUAACUUCCCAGUAAAGUGCACAGGGUGGGAUGUCUUACGUAACUUCCCUGCCCAAGUUGCAUAAAAAUCAGUUCUGCCAAGAAUGUGAGUGCAUUUUGCAUGCAUGUGGAGUUUUAGAUGGGUUUAUAUGGUUUUUGUUUCACUUGCUGGACCUGUUAUCACAUUUCAUCCUUAAAAGUGGUUGAACUUCUCUUUAUUUCUCCUUGGUGGUGGGGAUGGUAACAGGAGAACAGUACAUUCUAUUCCAUUUUAUUUUUAGGUAUAAAAUCAGAGCGUUUAAGGCUUGGCCCCUGUGGAUCAUAAACUUCUGAGUGAAGCAGGUCUCAUUUCAGUGCUGUGUGCUGGUGCAGCACAAGAUGAUUCUGGCAGAUGGUAGCAAACAGUACUUGAAGGCAGAUGAUGACAAAGAGGGCUUGCUCUGGGCAAGAUGUGAUUUACCUCCUGCUCACUUCCAAACAUCCCAAAGCUUUGCCAAAUCCUCUAUUUUGAAGAAAAACUGGGAUAUCAUAUUUAAAGCUUUCAGGAGAGAAAGCUGUGCUUGAAAGAGGUAAACUAAGGUCAGCUGAAAAAGAAGGAAGAAAUCCACUGGCUGCUGAGCUGUGCGCAUGUGUGCAGGCAGAUCUGAUGUUGCUGGCUGGGUAAGGAGCAUCUCUAGGAAAGGGCUUCUGUAAGAGCAGUGCUCUGUUGCCCUGCAGUAAUGCUACCAGGUGCAACAAAGUGU